GAUGAACGCUGGCGGCGUGCCUAAUACAUGCAAGUCGUACGGAAAGGCCCUUCGGGGUACUCGAGUGGCGGACGGCUGAGUAACGCGUGGGAACGUGCCCCAAAGUGAGGGAUAACGCACCGAAAGGUGUGCUAAUACCGCAUAUGGUCUUCGGAUUAAAGCUUCGGCGCUUUGGGAGCGGCCCGCGUACGAUUAGAUAGUUGGUGAGGUAAUGGCUCACCAAGUCGACGAUCGUUAGCUGGUCUGAGAGGAUGAUCAGCCAGACUGGGACUGAGACACGGCCCAGACUCCUACGGGAGGCAGCAGUAAGGAAUCUUCUACAAUGGGGGCAACCUUGAUGGAGCAACGCCGCGUGCAGGAUGAAGGUUUUCGGAUCGUAAACUGCUUUUAUAAGUGAAGAAUAUGACGGUAACUUAUGAAUAAGGAUCGGCUAACUACGUGCCAGCAGCCGCCGUAA
This 457-nucleotide ribosomal RNA is filed under the name uncultured bacterium. RNAcentral's name for it is "partial 16S ribosomal RNA". It matches the Rfam family "Bacterial small subunit ribosomal RNA", at positions 28 to 523 of the family's 1533-position model. The record is from RNAcentral.